AGCAGUGAGGAAUAUUGGUCAAUGGACGAGAGUCUGAACCAGCCAAGUCGCGUGAAGGAAGACGGCCUACGGGUUGUAAACUUCUUUUGUAAGGGAAUAAGAGUCUUACGAGCUAAGCGUUGCAGGUACCUUACGAAUAAGGAUCGGCUAACUCCGUGCCAGCAGCCGCGGUAAUACGGAGGAUCCGAGCGUUAUCCGGAUUUAUUGGGUUUAAAGGGUGCGCAGGCGGCAUGUUAAGUCGGCGGUGAAAUUUUGCAGCUCAACUGUAAAAGAGCCUUCGAAACUGGCAAGCUUGAGUGUGGAUGAAGUAGGCGGAAUUUGUGGUGUAGCGGUGAAAUGCAUAGAUAUCACAAAGAACACCGAUUGCGCAGGCAGCUUACUAAACCAUAACUGACGCUCAUGCACGAAGGCGUGGGGAUCAAACAGGAUUAGAUACCCUGGUAGUCCACGCAGUAAACGAUGAUUACUGGCUGUUUGCGAUACAUGUAAGCGGCUAGCGAAAGCGUUAAGUAUCCCACUGGG
RNAcentral lists this ribosomal RNA (522 nucleotides) under uncultured bacterium. RNAcentral's name for it is "bacterial SSU rRNA". It matches the Rfam family "Bacterial small subunit ribosomal RNA", at positions 350 to 876 of the family's 1533-position model. The record is from RNAcentral.